GGGGAUUUAGCUCAGUGGUGGAGCGCUUGCCUAGCAAGCACAAGGUCCUGGGUUUGGUCCCCAGCUCCG
RNAcentral lists this transfer RNA (69 nucleotides) under Rattus norvegicus (Norway rat). It matches the Rfam family "tRNA". From Rfam's summary of the family: Transfer RNA (tRNA) molecules are approximately 80 nucleotides in length. Their secondary structure includes four short double-helical elements and three loops (D, anti-codon, and T loops). The record is from Rfam by way of RNAcentral. Lineage: Eukaryota; Metazoa; Chordata; Mammalia; Rodentia; Muridae.